CUUGAAGCUGGAGAUCAUAGAUGUUGAAUCUAAGAUAGUUUGCAAUGGCAGCGACGAGGGUGGAUUUUCCAGUACCUGGUGGACCGUAGAGAAGGUACCCGCUUUUCCAUGCUCUACCAACACUCUGAAAGUAGUCCUUUCUUCGCACAAACAAGUCGAGAUCUUCAACUAUGAACUUCUUCAGGUCAGGGUCCAUUGCCAGAGUGUCAAAGGUAGCUGGAUGCUUGAACACAGUAGAUUCCCACAUAGAAUCCUCAUUAUCAUAAGUACAGAUAUAGAGGGUCUCUCUGUUCUUCAAGAUUGCAGCUGCAGUCUUGCUAAUGUAUGGCAAGUAGCUUUGCAUGACUUGUUCUCUAUAAUUAUUUUUGCAUUUCAAUUGGAAGUAUUUUUUUUGUUGAUGGUAAGACUUGUUUCCGUCACUCUCACAGAGAGUCCAUUCAAAAUGCAUACCCUGGAAAAAAUCAACAACUUUAGCAUCAACAGGAAUCCCUGGUUUUGGUGGGGCAAAGAUGUUGUUGGUAUCAUUGGUGCCUAAGAGAAGGCUUUUAGUGGAAGGGCCAACUUUGGUUGGAAGAUAGACCUCAACAGCUCGAAAGGUUUCAUUCCUCACAGCUUGCCAUCGGUCUUCAAUGAUGAAGGUGAAGUCUGAGGAGAAGUAGGUCGCAAAGAAAUCUGAAAAGCUUUUAGCUAUCAAGUCACGCAUACCACUUGGAAUCAUUUCAUUUAAUAUGGUGCGGAUUAGCAUCGAUACACCAGAUAUGGAUGCGUAUAUAGAGAGGAUUGUGCUCAUGGAGGGCAAUUCCUUCAAGAGAGACGCCAUUUCGAAUUUCAAAAAGCAAACAAAGAACGAUGGAGGAGAGUAUGUGCAGAGAGAAGGUGAAGCUUGGUCACUUAUAUGGGAUGAGCAAGGUUAUUCAUAGACAUGAAUGUUGACUUAAUAUACCUCACCUACAGCUAGCGGAGAGAGCACUGAUGUGCUUUGUUUGAAGAGAGCAUCUAAUAUAUAUAUAUAUAUAUAUAUAUAUAUAUAUAUAACCAUUUGAGUUUUCACAACUCUGAAAAGUCAAAUGGUAUUAUCUACUUCAUUUUCAGUCAUUUCACGCGAUUGUCGCUUCAUCGUUUUUUUGGCCAAUUGAUCCUUGAAUAUGGGCAAUGCUAAUUUUUAUUUCUAUAAAAUAUAUGGGCAAAUUCAACCUGAUUAUUAACUUUUAUUAGCUUCCAUCAAUUAAAUCAAACACGUUUCAAUUAUUUGAAGUUCCUCAGACAAGCUGUGACAUUAUCAACCUGUUAUUUUAGCUACGCUACGCCGGCGUGAUACCGCGGGCUUAUAGCAUGCUUGUGUGUUAUCGUAGUUUUGUAGAAAAAAAAAAAUAUGAAGAAAAAUUAUUGCAAUCCACAAUGUUUUCAAGGAAAAAAUUAUAAAGUUAAAUUUUUAAUCAGCUUAAUAUUAAAAAAAAUAAAAUCAACAAAAUUUUUUUUAAAAAAAAUCAUAACAAAAAAAGAAGAAGAAGAGGAAAACAAAAUCAUGCAGGGAAACACUGUAGCAAUCUAUAGUGUUUCAUGAGGAAAUCUACAAUUGUAAUUCUUAACCAGCUCAAUAUUAAAAAUAAUAAAAUCGAUCAAGAUAAUUUUGAAAAAAAUCAUAACAAAAAAAAUCAUAUGGGGGAAUACUGUAGCAAUUCAUAGUAUUUUAAAGAAAAAAACAACAAAGCUAAAUUCACAACCAGCUCAAUACAAAAAAAAAAUCGACAAGGACAAUUCUAGAAAAAAAAAUAAAAAAUCAUAAAAAAAAUCAUUCGGUUCGAUUUAGUUUUGAAUUUAGAAAAUUAUAACCGAUUGAACCGAACUUAAACCUUCUAAUAUAAAACAUGUAGAAAUAGAAACUUAAAACAUUUUAAUACUGAAGAUUUUGUUUCAGCCGCCCCUCUUCCUCCGCCCUCCUCCCUCCCCUUCUCUCCUGUGGCCUGUUUUCUAGUCUCUCUUUCCCUUGUUCUCUUCAUUCUCAUAUUGUGCUUCUACAUAACAAGGUCAAAAAAGAUGGAUUCAAGUUGGAGCAGGUCUUAAAUCACCAAAAAAAAAAAAAAAAAACAAUAACAGGAGCAAGGGGGCUGGACUAUUUAUAUUUGAUGGCCAUGUAUCUCUAUUUUAAAAUUUCAAAGUAAUAAAUUAUUUGAUUGGUUCUUUUUUUGCCUUUGUCCUUGGUAAAAGUGUUUUUGUUUCUAAUGAAUUAGUCUUGCUUGUGAUUAUAUAAUAUUUAUUGUUGGAUUUAAGAGUACAAAAUAUUGAUUUUUUGAGUUUUUGCUUCUGUAAAUAACGAGAACUUUCAAGUAAUCCAAAACCUGGUGUUGGUGUUUGUUUGAUCUGCUCUAGUUAUAUGUAUUUUUUAUUUUGUUGCUAGUGUCUUCUCCCUUCGCAUAGUUAUUUUUUACGGGAGUUGUCGGUUUUUCUGGUUUUCAAGAAAAAAAUUGAAAUAAACCGAAUUGAAUUGAUUUUUAAAUAGGUCUGGAUCAAUGUUUUUAGAAAUUACAACUCUUGAUUUGGUUUAAAUCGGACCAUAAACCACGUUUUAUGAACGUUUCCAAAUAAUUAGCUCAUUAUUUAUACAGUAUUGAUAACCCAUGAUGCCAGCAUUCAGUGGUGUGUGUGUGUGUGUGUAUUGCAGAUGAGUUUUUGGGUAAAUCAAUGCCCAUUUAAUUAGCUCAAUAGUUAAUUACACGUUCCUAGCAUAACUUGCAAGGGUAAUUCACUAUAAUUAACAAUGUAGGUUUUAGACAAAAUAAUAUGCCAUAAACUACAUUUUGAAUGAAGGGGAAGGCAAGAAACUCAAGUGGGACACGUUAGGGUUGCAAAUCAACCCUCAGAAGAUGCAAAAGUCCUUUUCAAAUCAACCAUCGUCUAAGUAGAGUGCUGCUAUAUAAUAUACAAAAAGAUGAUGCCAUCAAACAUCCUCCAAUAUGCCUCCAUUAUAUAUAUUUUUUUGCAUGUACAAAAUAUUAGUUUAGAUGAGUUCUUUUCAAACAUGCUUUUUUAUUCCAUAUAUAUACAAUUGAAGUGUGUGAAAGGCAUUACUAUACCUUUUUUUUUUUUUUAAUAAAAAAGAAAGGCAAAGAAAAGAAGGCUGCUAACAAUAAAGGGGCAUUUAUAAUUGCGUUUCAAACGGUGUUUCUAAAAUUUUUUGGUAUUUUUGAUUAAAAUUAUUUUUUUUUGUUUUUUUAAUUAUUUUAAUGUGUUGAUGACAAAAAUAAUUUAAAAAUAAAUAAAUAAAAAUACUAUUUUAAUACAUUUUCGAGUUUAAAAAACUGUGAAAAUAACCGUUAGUACAUUCUCAAACAUCCCCUAACACACUCUCGCUUUUUCAUCUACUAGCUUAUUUCUUCUUUCCUUCUUUGUUUGUCUUCAUUUCUUGCUCUUGUAUGUAAUUGGUUGUUUAUACAUGGAAUUGCAAAAAUCUCAAUUGGCAUUGUGAUGCCAUUACUAUAGCAUCAGUACAUGUAUAUAUCAACUUUAUUGGUCACAUAUGAUGCUUUUAUUAAUUAUGAAUAGUUCAUAGAAUCACAACUCUAAUAUGUAUAAUGUAUUUUUUUAAAUAAAAACUAAAAUGACUUCCCCAACAAACAAAUAAUAAAAUCCAACGUCUUCUUCAUCCUUUUCUUCUUCUUCUUCUUCAUCAUCAUGUUAUUCUUGAAAGCAUCACCACCUGGAAUCAAAACAAAAAAGAAAGCAUCUAAUAUAUAUAUACAACCCACCAAAGGACGAAAAGAGCUAACCAUUUUGAUUUUUUUAUCCAUAUGAAGAUCAUAGUAGUCCAAUUUGAUUGGCUUCAAGAUCACAUAUCCGGGUAGUGGUAGAGAAAAGGGGCUAGUAGAAGCCUCGACUCUUGUAAUUUAUUUUCUAGCCUUCCCCUGAAUAGUUUAGAGUUUUGACCCUAAAAAUAGUAAAAUUUAAAUUUUGAUCUCCCUUUUUUAUUAUUAUUAUUUGACCCCUAACUAAACUCCAUGGCUAUACCUCUUUCUAGAGGUUUGUUUGGAUCCAAGGCUAGCCAAAAAGGUGUUAAAGCAAGGGUAAUCCCUUCUAUGGACUAUAGGGUGACUUUCUCUUCGGAUGUUAUGCUUGGGGAACGCCUCUCGUGGUGGUGAGAGUUACUUUGUGUGGCUAUGGAAGCUCUCAAUCAUCCCUUGGAGACCUAUUUUUCCCUCAACAUAAUUAUUAUUGUGCACUAGAGGGAGGAAUGUGUGAAGAAGCCAUUGGAGGAGCUGGUGAUGAUGUUUGCAGAGCCCUAAAUAGAUUUAUUUGUUUUAAAAAAUUUAUUGCAGUAGUAAUAACUAUUAAAAGAAAAGCUAAAACACAUGGUGUUUUUAUUGCAUAUAUAUCUUUGUUUAUUAUGAAUUGUAAUAGUAAAAUGAUUAUUUUACCCUUCCAAAACUCUUAGAAUAUUGCAUUUUAGGUGUAAAAUGGUAUUUUUCUUUGGUCAAUUUGUCAUUUGAUAAUUGUUUAGUGGUUUUAUUGUUUUUUUAUAAUUUUUAUACACAUUUAAAUGACUUUGUUACGUUUAAAAGCAAAAAAUCAUUUAACUCUGGUCAAGAGUCUUUUCGGGCAUUUCACAUUUUAAUAUACAGUAAAAUUAUAAAUUUAACCUUGGAGUUAAAAAUUUUAAGUCAUUAUCAUAGGGGUAUAUUUUUAUUUUCAUAGUGGUUUUUUUGGUAAUUGAUGUGUUUGUCAGGGGUGAUAAUAUAAUUUACCAUUUUAUUAUUUUUCUUAGUUGAAAAAGCUCUUGGCGCAUGCAAGACACCAUGCAUUUUAGACGGUGCAUGUUGCAUCUCCUAGCGGUAAAAAAAUGCUUUCACCAUGUCAUUUUGUUCUCCGUCACGUUCUCUUCCUUUACAAGUGGCACGUGUCAUUUAAAAAUUGUCAGUUUAUGGUCCAUAGCCCUUUCUCUUUUCCCCCCUUUCUCUUUAAUCCAAACCAAACCAGACUAGACCAGACCGUAAACCACCAUUCUAUAAACGCUUCCAAAAAAUUAGCUCAUUAUUUAUACAGUAUUGAUGACCCACGAUGCCAGCAUUCAGUGGCAUUAUAUAUAUAUAUAUAUAUAUUGCAGAUGAGGUUUUGGGUAAAUUAAUGCCCAUUUAAUUAGCUCAAUAGUUAAUUACACGUUCCUAGCAUCACUUGCAAGGGUAGUUCACUAUAAUUAACAGUGUAGGUUUUGACAAAAUAAUAUGCCAAAACUACAUUUUGAAUGAAGGGGAAGGUAAGAAACUCAAGCGGGACAAGUUAGCUUGCAAUCAACCCUCAGAAGAUGCAAAAGUCCUUUUCAAAUCAACCAUCUUCUAAGUAGAGUGCUGCUAUAUAAUAUACAAAAAGAUGAUGCCAUCAAACAUCCUCCAAUAUGCCUCCAUUAUAUAUUUUUUUUUGCAUGUACAAAAUAUUAGUUUAGAUGAGUCCUUUUCAAACAAGCUUUUCUAUUCCAUAUAUAUACAAUUGAAGUGUGUGAAAGGCAUUACUAUACUUUUUUUUUUUUAAUAAAAAAGAAAGGCAAAGAAAAGGCUGCUAACAAUAAAGGGGCAUUUAUAAUUGCGUUUCAAACGGUGUUUCUAAAAGUUUUUGGUUUUUUGAUUAAAAUUAUUUUUUUUUGUUUUUUUAAUUAUUUUAAUUGUUGAUGACAAAUAAUUUAAAAAUAAAUAAAUAAAAAUACUAUUUUAAUACAUUUUCGAGUUUAAAAAACUGUGAAAAUAACCGUUAGUACACUCUAAACAUCCCCUAACACACUCUCGCUUUUUCAUCUACUAGCUUAUUUCUUCUUUCCUUCUUUGUUUGUCUUCAUUUCUUGCUCUUGUAUGUAAUUGGUUGUUUAUACAUGGAAUUGCAAAAAUCUCAAUUGGCAUUGUGAUGCCAUUACUAUAGCAUCAUAUAUAUCAACUUUAUUGACAUAUGAUGCUUUUAUUAUAUUAUGAAUAGUUCAUAGAAUCACAACUCUAAUAUGUAUAAUGUAUUUUUUUAAAUAAAAACUAAAAAUGACUUCCCCAACAAACAAAUAAUAAAUCCAACGUCUUCUUCAUCCUUUUCUUCUUCUUCUUCUUCAUCAUCAUGUUAUUCUUGAAAGCAUCACCACCUGGAAUCAAAACAAAAAAGAAAGCAUCUAAUAUAUAUAUACAACCCACCAAAGGACGAAAAGAGCUAACCAUUUUGAUUUUUUUAUCCAUAUGAAGAUCAUAGUAGUCCAAUUUGAUUGGCUUCAAGAUCACAUAUCCGGGUAGUGGUAGAGAAAAGGGGCUAGUAGAAGCCUCGACUCUUGUAAUUUAUUUUCUAGCCUUCCCCUGAAUAGUUUUAGAGUUUUGACCCUAAAAUAGUAAAAUUUAAAUUUUGAUCUCCCUUUUUUUAUUAUUAUUAUUUGACCCCUAACUAAACUCCAUGGCUCUACCUCUUUCUAGAGGUUUGUUUGGAUCCAAGGCUAGCCAAAAAGGUGUUAAAGCAAGGGUAAUCCCUUCUAUGGACUAUAGGGUGACUUUCUCUUCGGAUGUUAUGCUUGGGGAACGCCUCUCGUGGUGGUGAGAGUUACUUUGUGUGGCUAUGGAAGCUCUCAAUCAUCCCUUGGAGACCUAUUUUUCCUCAACAUAAUUAUUAUUGUGCACUAGAGGGAGGAAUGUGUGAAGAAGCCAUUGGAGGAGCUGGUGAUGAUGUUUGCAGAGCCCUAAAUAGAUUUAUUUGUUUUAAAAAAUUUAUUGCAGUAGUAAUAACUAUUAAAAGAAAAGCUAAAACACAUGGUGUUUUUAUUGCAUAUAUAUCUUUGUUUAUUAUGAAUUGUAAUAGUAAAAUGAUUAUUUUACCCUUCCAAAACUCUUAGAAUAUUGCAUUUUAGGUGUAAAAUGGUAUUUUUCUUUGGUCAAUUUGUCAUUUGAUAAUUGUUUAGUGGUUUUAUUGUUUUUUAUAAUUUUUAUACACAUUUAAAUGACUUUGUUACGUUUAAAAGCAAAAAAUCAUUUAACUCUGGUCAAGAGUCUUUUCGGGCAUUUCACAUUUUAAUAUACAGUAAAAUUAUAAAUUUAACCUUGGAGUUAAAAAUUUUAAGUCAUUAUCAUAGGGGUAUAUUUUUAUUUUCAUAGUGGUUUUUUUGGUAAUUGAUGUGUUUGUCAGGGGUGAUAAUAUAAUUUACCAUUUUAUUAUUUUUCUUAGUUGAAAAAGCUCUUGGCGCAUGCAAGACACCAUGCAUUUUAGACGGUGCAUGUUGCAUCUCCUAGCGGUAAAAAAAUGCUUUCACCAUGUCAUUUUGUUCUCCGUCACGUUCUCUUCCUUUACAAGUGGCACGUGUCAUUUAAAAAUUGUCAGUUUAUGGUCGAUAGCCCUUUCUCUUUUCCCCCCUUUCUCUUUAAUCCAAACCAAACCAGACUAGACCAGACCGUAAACCACCAUUCUAUAAACGCUUCCAAAAAAUUAGCUCAUUAUUUAUACAGUAUUGAUGACCCACGAUGCCAGCAUUCAGUGGCAUUAUAUAUAUAUAUAUAUAUAUAUUGCAGAUGAGGUUUUGGGUAAAUUAAUGCCCAUUUAAUUAGCUCAAUAGUUAAUUACACGUUCCUAGCAUCACUUGCAAGGGUAGUUCACUAUAAUUAACAGUGUAGGUUUUGACAAAAUAAUAUGCCAAAACUACAUUUUGAAUGAAGGGGAAGGUAAGAAACUCAAGCGGGACAAGUUAGCUUGCAAUCAACCCUCAGAAGAUGCAAAAGUCCUUUUCAAAUCAACCAUCUUCUAAGUAGAGUGCUGCUAUAUAAUAUACAAAAAGAUGAUGCCAUCAAACAUCCUCCAAUAUGCCCCCAUUAUAUAUUUUUUUUUGCAUGUACAAAAUAUUAGUUUAGAUGAGUCCUUUUCAAACAAGCUUUUCUAUUCCAUAUAUAUACAAUUGAAGUGUGUGAAAGGCAUUACUAUACUUUUUUUUUUUUAAUAAAAAAGAAAGGCAAAGAAAAGAAAGCUGCUAACAAUAAAGGGGCAUUUAUAAUUGCGUUUCAAACGGUGUUUCUAAAAAAUUUUGGUUUUUUUUAUUAAAAUUAUUUUUAUUAUUAUUUUGAUUAUUUUAAUGCGUUGAUGAAAAAAAUAAUUUAAAAAUAAAUAAAUAAAAACAUUAUUUUAAUAUAUUUUCGAGUUAAAAGAACUGUGAAAAGCAAUUAUUACUACACUCUUAAACAUCUCCUAACACUCUCGCUUUGUCAUCUACUAGCUUAUUUCUUUUUUCCUUCUUUGUUUUUGUCUUCAUUUCUUGCUCUUGUAUGUAAUUGGUUGUUUAUACAUGGAAUUACAAAAAUCUCAAUUGGCAUUGUGAUGCCAUUACUAUAGCAUUAAUUCAUGUAUGUAUCAACUUUAUUGGUUACAUCUAAUGCUUUGAUUAAUUAUGAAUAGUUCAUAGAAUCACAACUCUAAUAUGUAUAAUGUUUUUUUUUAAUAAGAAAAACUAAAAUGACUUCCCCAACAAACAAAUAAUAAAAUCCCAUGUCUACUUCAUCUUUUUCUUCUUCUUCUUCAUCAUCAUCAUCAGCAUCAUCAUCAUGUUGUUCUCGAAAGCAAAACCACCUAGAAUCAAAACAAAAAAGAAAGCAUCUAAUAUAUAUACAACCCAUCAAAGGACUAAAAGAGCUAACCAUUUUGAUUUUUUAUCCAUAUAAAUAUCAUAAUAGUCCAAUUUGAUUGGCUUCAAGAUCACAUAUCCGGGUAGUGGUGGAGAAAUAGGGCUAGUAGGAGCCUCAACCCUUGUAAUUUAUUUUCUAGCCUUCCCCUGAACAGUUUAUAGUUUUGACCCUAAAACUAGUAAAAUUCAAAUUUUGAUCUUUUUAUUUUAUUUUUAUUAUUUGCGCCCUAACUAAACUUCCUGGCUCUACCUCUCUACAUCCAAGUUUGUUUAGAUUCGAGGCUAGCCAAAAAGGUGUUAAAGCUAGGGUAAUCCUUUCUAUAGAAUAUAAGGUGACUUUCUCUUCUGAUGUUAUGCUUAGGGAAUGCCUCUCGUAGUGGUGGGAGUGAUUUUGUGAUGGCUAUAAAAGCUCUCAACCAUCUCUUGGAGACCUAUUUCCCCUCAAAAUAAUUAUUAUUGUAAACUAGAGGGAGGAAUGUGUGAAAAAGCUAUUUGAGGAGUUGUUGAUGAUGUUUAAUAACUCUAAAUAGAUUUAUUUGUUUUUAAAAUUUUAUUGCAAUAGCUAUAACUAUUAAAACAAAAGCUAAAACGCGUAGUGUUUUCAUUGUAGAUAUGUCAUUUCUUACUAUGGAUUGUAAUAGUAAAAUGAUAAUUUUACCCUUCCAAAACUCUUAGAAUGUUGCCUUUUUAGGGGUAAAAUGAUAUUUUUCUUCAGUCAAUUUGUCAUUUGAUAAUUGUUCAAUGGUUUUACUGCCUUUUAUAAUUUUUAUGCACAAUUAAAUGACUUUGUUACCUUUUAAAAGCAAAAAAUCAUUUAACUAUGGUCAAAAGUCUUUUCGGGCAUUUUACAUUUUGAUAUACAGUAAAAUUACAAAUUUAAGCUUGGAGUUCAAAAUUUUAAGCCAUUGUCAUAGUGGUAUAUUUAUAUUUUCAUAUUGGUUUUUUUAUAUAAUUGUUGGGUUUGUCGGGGGUGAUAACAUAAUUUACUAUUUAAUUAUUUUUCUUGGUUGAAAAAGUUGUUAGCAUAUGCAAGGUACCACGCAUUUUAGACGGUGCAUAUGGCAUCUCUUGGUGGUAAAAAAUAUACUCUAGCCAUGUCAUUUUGCUCUCCGUCAUGUUUUUUUUCUUUAUAAGUGGCGCGUGUCAUCUAAAAAUGAUCAGUUUAUUGCUGGUGGUCCUUUCUCUUUUUUUCCCCUUCAUUUCUCUCUCCUACCUCCAAAAAACUAAAUUUGUUCCUAAUUUUUGUUGGUGUUUUAGAAUCCAUCCUCUUAGUUUUGAUUUUUUAUUUCAGUUACUUUUUCAUUUUUUAUUAUUUUAUUUGUUUUCAAUUUAGUUAUUCAAUUAUAUUUAAUGUCUACAAUGUCUUUUGAUUUGGUUCUUCUACUUUUGAUUUCUUAUUAUUUUUUCUUAGCUCUUUUAUCAAAGUUUUAAUAGUUUUAAAUUUUAUCAUUCAAAUUAGAUUUAUAAGUUUUUGUCAAUAGUAAUAAUAUUUAUUUCAGUUUGGUCCUUCUUCUUUUGAUUUUUUAUUUGUUUCCUUUGUUAUUUUGUCAAAAUUUUAUGGUUUUUAAUUUUAUUCUUCAAAUCAAGUUUAUGAUUUUUGUUAUUUCAAUAAUAAUAAUAAUAGUGAUAAUAAUUAUAGUAAUUGUUGCUACCCAAUUUUUGACCCAUGUUUUUGAUAUAUUUUUUAAAAAAUCCAAAAAUAGAGAAAAACAAUGAAAAUCCAAAAAAUAUGUUUUUUUAAUAUAUUUUCGUCCUUUUAGCACUUUCAACGUCGUCUAAAAAAAAAGAAUUUAAAUUUUUAAAAGAUUUUCAAACGCGUUCGACUUUUCACGCGUCAUUUUUUGAAAAAACAUUGAUUUUCCUCGUUGAGUCGACGUUGAUAUUGCUCGUUUUCAAAAAAUACAAAAAAAAUAAGAAAAAUCAAAAUUUACAAAAAGAAAGAAGUUGAGGGACCAAGUUGAAAAACUUGGCAACAUUUUUGCCUAUAAAUACUGGUCUUUAACUCACACAAAGGGGGGGGCUAAUUUUGAAAACACCUAAAAAUACAACAAAAAACCCUAAAAUUCAUCUCUAACCAAAGGCAGCCGCCGGAGCCCCCCACCCUUUGGAUUUUUUUUCUUCCUUCCCCCAGCCACAACUCCCUCACACCCGGCCAAACAGCCCCCAAACCCACCGGUUUAUUUUUUCUUCUUCCUUUUCUCCAGCCGGCUGGUCAAGCCACACCGCCACCUCCUUCAGUUUUUUUUUUCGAUCUGUCUUUCCCUUCUCCAUCGCUGGAGACCCAAGCUUUCAUCUUCUCUGCAGCGGUCACCCACAGCCAAGGAGAAGCCGCCGCCCCAAACCGCUGAAAAGAAACAAAACCGGAGAGCACCUCCUCAGCCACGGCUGCUUCCCCUUCGAUUUCCUUCCUCAGCGACGGCCGGACAGCAGCACCGGGGCAACACUUUCGCCCGCUCCACUGCCUUCAACCGGCCACCGAACAACAGCUUCAGCAGCCACGGAGCAACCGACCGAUCUGCCACCCGAAGCAGAGGAGAAGAAGACGAAACCCAGCGACCACCGACAGCUCCUCCUCCACGACCGAUCUGCCACCGGAGAAGAAGAAGAAACCCAUAACAGACCGAUCUGUAGAAGAAACAGAUCCGAAACCGAGAAGAAGAAAAGGAGAAGCUGAUCUGAUGAAAAGAAAAAAACCGAAACAGAUUUAUAGAAAACAGAAAUAAAAUCUAAAAUCAACUGUUUGUGGCCCAUUUUUUGCAUUUCUUGUUGCAGGCAAAGGUAUUAUUCACCGCCGGCGACGAAGAAGGGAGGAUCUCCCCUGCUGCAUUGCUUUUCCGGUGGCGCGUGAGCCCACGCGCCCCCAGUGGUGGGGGCGCGUGGAGCAGACGCGCCACCACCGUUCAGUUGCCCUGAAAAUGCUCCCAUCACUGUUUCAGUGGUGCAAAAGGUGUUCCGGUGAAUUCCAGAUUGUUUUAGGGUUGUUAUUGUAAUUUUAAUGUAAUUUUUGUUUGAUGUAAUUUUUUAUUUGUAUUUUGUAAAUAUAGAUGUAAAAGAAAAGAAAAGAAAAGAAACAAAAAAAUAAAAUAGUGAAAGUGUAUGUGUGUGCUUGUAUUUUGUUUUAUUUAUUUGUAUAUAUUUUUUUUAUUGAUAAAAUUGCGAAAAUAUUAAAGAAGAAUUUAAUAUUUUGAUUGGAUCACGGUUAAGAAUUAUUAACUUAUACGUAAGUGAUAUUUCUAAUUUCCGAUGAAAAGAUAAAUUAUUAAAACUUCUUUAACACGUCGAAGCUACGAAGCAGCUUACCUCAGGUAGGGUGCGUUAGGGGUGCUAAUACCUUCCCUAACCACAACCAGUCCCUUACCCGCGAAUCUCUGACGAGACCAGUACAUCCGGUUUCCUAGUAGCCCGCAAUCAAUUACUAGGUGGCGACUCCAACGAACUGAAUUCAAACACUACGCAACAACGAGACUUAAAUCGCCAGCUCGAUGCCGCGCGCUGAUUUUUUUGGGGUGCGACAGUAAUAGUAGCAGCUGUUUUAUGACAAUAAUAGUUACAAUGAUGAUAAUAGUAGUAGUAGUAAUAUUUUAUUAUGAUGGUUGUAGUAGUUAUGAUAUCAAUAAUUGUGGUAAUGAUAAUAAUAAUAUUAAUGAUUGUGCUAAUAAUAUUAAUAAUAAUUAAAAUAAUAAUGAUAAUGAUAUUAGUGGUGAUGGUGGUGGUGGUGGUGGUUGUAAUAAUAAUAAUGAUAAUAAUAAUAAUGGUGGUGGUGGUGCUAAUAAUAGUGCUAAUAAUUGUAACAAUGAUAACGAUACAAUAAUAAUACUAUUAACAGUAAUAAUAGUUGUUAUAAUAAUAGUAGUAAUGAUAAUAAUAAUAAUAAUAAUAAUAAUAAUAAUAAUAAUAAUAAGAAAAACAAUAAUGAUAAUAUUGGUGGUGGUAGUAAUAAUAAUAAGUAUAACAAUAAUAAUAACAAUAAUAAUAAUAAUAAUAAUAAUAAUAGUGAUAAUGAUAGUUAUAGUUAUUACGAUGAUGAUGAUGAUAAUAAUAAUAAUAAUAAUAAUAAUAAUUCAUCAUUCAAUAUUAGAUUUGUUGGGAAUUGAGUAAUAGGUUUAAAUGAAAUUUGAAUAACCGUUUUUUGUUUUACAAAACUAAUGUUGAAUAAUAGAAUCGGGGAAAAAACAAUAAGGAAAAAAAAAAAGGAAUUGUGUGAAGAAGCCAUUGUGUGAAAAAAAAGGAAUUGUGUGAAAAAAAAAAAGGAAUUGUGUGAAUAAUUUUAUUGUGCACUAGCUAGAGGGAGAAUUGUGUGAAGAAGCCAUUGGAGAAGCUGGUGAUGAUGUUUGCAAAGCCCUAAAUAGAUUUAUUUGUUUUUAAAAAUUUAUUGCAGUAGCAAUAACCAUUAAAAAAAAAAAGCUAAAAAGCAUGGUGUUUUUAUUGCAUAUAUGUCUUUGUUUAUUAUGAAUUGUAAUAAUAAAAUGAUUAUUUUACCCUCCCAAAACUCUUAGAAUAUUGCAUUUUAGGUGUAAAAUGGUAUUUUUCUUUGGUCAAUUUGUCAUUUGAUAAUUGUUUGGUGGUUUUAUUGUUUUUUUUAUCAUGUUUAUACACACUUAAAUGACUUUGUUACCUUUAAAAGUAAAAAAUCAUUUAACUAUGGUCAAGAGUCUUUUCGGGCAUUUUAUAUUUUAAUAUAUAGUAAAAUUAUAAAUUUAACCUUGGGGUUAAAAAUUUUAAGUCAUUGUCAUAGGGGUAUUUUUGUAUUUUCAUAGUGGUAUUGUUGGUAAUUGAUGGGUUUGUCAUGGGUGAUAACAUAAUUUACCAUUUUAUUACUUUUCUUGGUUGAAAAAGCUAUUUGCGCAUGCUGGACACCAUGCAUUUUGGGCGAUGCAUGUGACAUCUCCUAGUGGUAAAAAAUAUGCUUUUACCAUGUCAUUUUGUAUCCGUCAUGUUCUCUUCCUUUAUAAGUGGCACGUGUCAUCUAAAAAUUAUCAGUUUAUCGUUGGUGGCCCUUUCUUUUUUUUCCCCCUUCAUUUUUCUCUUUUACCUUCAAAAAAACUAAAUUUAUCUCUAUUUUUUUUUUUGGUGUUUUAGAAUCCAUCCUCUUAGUUUUGAUUUUUUUAUUUAAGUUAUUUUCUCUUUUGUUAAUGUUUUAUUUGUUUUUAAUUUAGUCAUUCAAUUCUAAUUAAUGUAUAUGAUGUCUUUUGAUUUGAUCCUUCUACUUUUGAUUUUUUUUUUUCCUUGGCUCUUUUGUCAAAGUUUUUUAUAGUUUUUAAUUUUAUCAUUCAAAUUAGAUUUAUGAUUUUUUUUAAAUAGUAAUAAUAUUUAUUUUAAUUUGGUCCUUCUUCAUUUGAUUUUUUAGUUGUUUCCUUUGCUAUUUUGUCAAAGUUUUUAUGGUUUUUAAUUUUAUCCUUCAAAUGAAGUUUAUGGCUUUUAAUUUUAUUAUUCAAAUCAAGUUUAUGAUUUUUUUUAUUUCAAUAAUAAUAAUAACAAUAUUUUAUUAUGAUGGUUGUAGUGUUUAUAAUAUCAAUAAUUAUGGUGAUGAUAGUAAUAAUAGUAAUAAUUGUGAUAAUAAUAUUAAUAAUAAUUAAAAUAAUAAUGAUAUUAGUGAUAAAGAAAAUAAUAAUAAUAAUAAUAAUAAUAAUAAUGGUGGUGGUGCUGGUGAUGGUAGUGAUAAUAAUUGUAACAAUGAUAACGGUACUAAUAAUAAUACUAUUAACAAUAAUUAUAAUAAUAGUUUGUUAUCAUAAUAGUAGUAGUAGUAGUAGUAGUAGUGGUGGUGGUUAUAAUAAAAACAACAACAAUAAUGAUAAGGAAAAUAAUAAUGAUAAUAUUUGUAGUAGUAAUAAUAAUAAUAAUAAAUAUAACAAUAAUAUUAACAGAAAUAAUAAUAACGAUGAUAAUAAUAAUGAUAGUGAUAGUGAUAGUUAUAAUAAUAAUGAUGAUGAUAAUGAUGAUUCAUCAUUCAAUGUUAGAUUUGCUAGGAAUUGAAUCUCACUGCUUUUCCAUGUAUGAUAUUUCUGAUCUAAUAAUGAAGAUUAUGGUUUCGAAAAGUUUACUUGGCUCGACAUCUUCUCUUUUUUCCUGAUUGUUUAUUCCCCGAUUUUAUUAUUCAACAUUAGUUUUGUAAAACAAAAAACAAUCAUUCAAGUUUCCUUUAACCUAUUAAAUAAAUUAAUUUACAUCGAGUUAGCUCUUAUAUAGUUUAAUUGGAAGCUCACAAUAGACAAACAAGUUAAGGGAUGUAAAGAUUUAUCUUCUUGGACAAGUUUAAUAAUAUUGCAAAAAUAUCCUCAUGCUCUUAUUUUUUUUUUCUUUUUUAUGUUUUUUUAAAAUGAUUUGACUUGCAUCGGAGCGAGGAGAAAUGAACUAGUUAAUAUGAUUUUUUUAUAAAAUUCCAAAAACUUUAAUUUGAAAAGAUUUUCAAUUAUCAUUUGGCAAUAAAUAUAGUUUAGGAAUUUUACUAGAUCAAAUUAUUGUGGACAUAAAACAAAUGUUCAAGCAUUGUUAAUAUGUUUUGUAAUAAAAAACAAUUAAUAUUAAACUCAAUAUAUGAUUCAUAUUGGAUAAUAUUUUUUAAAAUAUUGAUACGACAACAUAUUGGAUAUUAUUCUUUUUCAAAUAUUGAGACGACAACAUAUUGAAUCGACCCGGGUUAACCUGUCAAAUCUAUAACUUAGAUCAUGAAAUUAUGAUAACCCCAUAAAAAACAAAUCAAAAUAAAAUAUGAAGAUCAAUUCCUAAUCAACCAAUUUUGAUAGAAAAUUUUGAAAAUAAUAUUAAAUAAAAAAAAAUAAAAAAACUACCUAGAUCAACCUGCCAAACAUGUAACCUGAAUCAUGAGAUUUGGAUAAUCUUAUAAAAAGUAAAUAAAAAAAUUAUAAAACUCAAUUUUCAACUAAACCAAUAUUGAAGAAUAAAAAAAUUAAAAAAAUAACUAAAGUCAACACGGACUAACCUGUUAAACUAUCUAACUGAAUCAUAAGACAAAAAUAACUUCAUAAAAAUAAAAUAAAUAAAAAUUAGAAAGUUUCAUUUUCAACAUAUCCAAUGUUGAACAGGUUAGUUUAGGGAUAACUUUAUAACUUAAAAAGGUCAUGCCAUUAAUUUUGUUAAUAUGUAUUUGGCAAUGUAGUGUAAUAUUAUUUUUAAAGUGUUUUUUAAUUGUAAUUUAUUGAAAUAAUUUUUUUUUUUAUUUUAUAUUAGCAAAUCAAAACUAUUAAAAAUUAAUUAAAAAAUGAAUUUAAUGUUGUUAAGAUGAAAAAAACAGAUAUAACCAUAAAAACAAAUAAUUUUAAUAGAGUUAAAUAGAAGAAAGAGGAAGAAUUGAAAUUUGAAACCACAAUGAAAGUUUGAGGGGGUAAUUUAUACAAACGAGAGAAAUCAAUUUAUUAAGAUUUAGUAGAUUAAUUGAAUAGAUUAUUUUUUUUACUAAAUUUAACAUUAAAAACCCUUUAACACGUUUCCAAUCACAACAAAAGCUAUAUAAGUAAUAGGUAGUGACCGAUGGAAGCCAGCAAUCCACCUAAGUCAGGUAAGCAGAUGUUGUUAGAAUCUUGGAUUGCUUCCCGUCUUGUUUCUCAACUUCUUCUUUUAUAACCUCUUCCUCGUCCUUUUUAGCCUCAUUUUUCUCUACCAUUUCAGCUUCCUUCAUACUGAUGAACUCGAUGAGACUUUGAAGAACAACUUGAGGCUCGUCACGUUUCAUAAGCUGCUGUGCGACUUCUGCUGGGGUAAUAACAGGACUUUGAAGGAGAUCUUCGAUGCAUUUGAAAAGGACAUGCUCUUUAAUUCCAAGAUAUGUAAAGGCAAGCUUCCUGAAUGCUGCAGGAGUACAAUGGCCCAUGUAAAUAUGAACAUCCAUUCGUCCUGGUCGCAACAAUGCUGGGUCCAACUUCUCUUUGUAAUUUGUCGUGAAAAUGAUUAUUCUUUCAUCCCCGCAGCUUGACCAUAGCCCGUCAAUGAAGUUCAACAAACCAGAUAAGGUCACCUGUGAGAAGAUUUAAAGAGAAAUAUGGAAUAUGGAAUUGGAAAACUAGGAGACAAUAAGGCAUCGCCUUGAUUAAUGAAUGUUUUCCUUCCAAAUCAAUUCUAGUUUUUUUUUUUUUUUUAAAUAUCAUUUUUGGUGACUUUACAUAAGCAUAACAUGAUGUUAUUUAUGAAGUCUAAUCAGUAAGGAUUGCUGUUAAGUUCCGAAUAAAAUAAACAGGGGACAUUAAUUCUUUCAGGACUCACUUACCCCAGGAUCAAAAGAAAGCUUAUUAUCAAGUUGAUCACCCCCCUCAUCAUCAUCAUCAUCUUGUUCUUCUUUUGGAUUCUUAUUUCGAUCGCGAGAACGUGAAGAUUUUGUACCGCAGUCAAUGUCCUCAAUGAGAAGAAUGGAACGAUUGGUGGUGGAGGUGAGUAUCCUCCUCAGUUGAGCAUCAUUCCUUACACCUUGAAGCUGGAGAUCAUAGAUGUUGAAUCUGGAGAUAGUUUGCAAUGGCAGCGACGAGGGUGGAUUUUCCAGUCCCUGGUGGACCGUAGAGAAGGUACCCUCUUUUCCAAGCUCUACCAACACUCUGAAAGUAGUCCUUUCUUUGCACGAACAAGUCGAGAUCUUCAAUUAUGAACUUCUUCAGGUCAGGGUCCAUUGCCAGAGUGUCAAAGGUAGCUGGAUGCUUGAACACAGUAGAUUCCCACAUAGAAUCCUCAUUAUCAUAAGUAUAGAUAUUGAGGGUCUCUCUGUUGUUCAAGAUUGCAGCUGCAGUCUUGCUAAUGUGUGGCAAGUAGCUUUGCAUGACUUGUUCUCUAUAAUUAUUUUUGCAUUUCAAUUGGAAGUAUUUUUUUUGCUGAUGGUAAUACUUGUUGCCUUCUUUCUCACAGAGAGUCCAUUCAAAAUGCAUACCUUGGAAAAAAUCAACAACUUUAGCAUCAACAGGAAUCCCUGGUUUUGGUGGGGCAAAGAUGUUGUUGGUAUCAUUGGUGCCUAAGAGAAGGCUUUUAGGAAGGGCCAACUUUGGUUGGAAGAUAGACCUCAACAGCUCGAAAGGUUUCAUUCUCCACAGCUUGCCAUCGGUCUUCAAUGAUGAAGGUGAAGUCUGAGGAGAAGUAGGAGCAAAGAAAUCUGAAAAGCUUUAGCUAUCAGUCACGCAUACCCCUUGGAAUCAUUUCAUUCAAUAUGGUGCGGAUUAGCAUGGAUAAACCAGAUAUGGAUGCGUAUAUAGAGAGGAUUGUGCUCAUGGAGGGCAAUUCCUUCAAGAGAGAAGCCAUUUCAGAUUUCGAAAAGCAAGCAAAGAACGAUGGAGGAGAGUAUGUGCAGAGAGAAGGCGAAGCUUGGUCACUUGUAUGGGAUGAGCAAGGUUAUUUAUAGACCAAAGAGGGAAUGGAAUUAUUGUUUGGAAUUGUCCACGAAAAUUAGCUCGAAUUUCUUUGGUUUGUAAACGCGUGAUAAGAUGGAAAAGAUAUCUCCCGUCUACAGCUAGCGGAGAGAGCACUGCUGUGCUUUGUUUGGAGAAACCUCAUAGAAUGUGCUUUGUUUAGAGAAACCUCAUAGAAUGUGCUAGGAAAGGAACAAUACAGAAAACGCUCAUUGAAAAAGGGUACUUAACUGAAGAUGAAGAAGCAGUGCAGACAUCUUAUGGUCACCUCAUUCACACUUGAAUAAUGAGAAGGGUGGGAAAUGGGCAAGAACCUUCCCUUCCUUUCCAGAUAAGCUCGAGGGAAUUGAACGGAAAUUGCCAUAUCUCCCCUUUCAUAAGGUCUUAUUAGCUGUAAUCUUGCAGUUUAAACCAUAUUUCAGAUAAUAAAGUGCAGGAAUAUACCUUCUGCCACCAUUAACCUCUUCCACUCGGGCUUCUUUAGUAAUGGAACACAGCAUCCGCCCCCCCCCCCCCCUAUUCGCAUUUAAAAUUUAAUUUAAUUUUUUUUUGUAAAAUAACAAAGCCCACAAAGUAUAACAAAAUCAUGAUUGAAAAAUAUGAAUUAAAUAAAUAUGGCGUUUCUUAAUAUGAAUCACAACAGGCUAAAACUGUACUAUUCCACGUAUGAGCAUAGAAAUUCCAUAAAAGACGACAUUAAUUUAGCCGAGAAGUCAGAAGACUUUCUUCAAGAACAAGACAUCUUUGGAACCAUGAGAUUACCUCUUCCCUAGCAGAUGCCACUCAUUCUCGUACAAAUACACAAGCUCUUAACGUCUAGAUAAAUACACCUCUAUGAAAGGUGUCAAUGCAUUUCCGAUGCUAUUUAUUUCUGAAUCUCUCCUGGUAAGAACGAAGAAAAUCAUGGAUCUCAAUCACACAUAGAUGAGACAUUAAACGGAUGAAAAUGAACAAGAAAGUACAACUUCAGUCCUUUCCCUCGCUCAAAGACCUUUGCACUGUUACAGGUAGAAGAAGAAGAAAUUGAAUAAAAGGAACUACGGCAGGCCACGUAUUCAAAAGUUAGUUAUCCUUACACACGCGAGCCACGCAUUCAAAAGUUAAUUAUAGAAGUCAUACGCGUCGUUUCAUUUAAAUAACCAUACGCACCGUUUCAAUUCCAUAAAACAGCUGCAUGGCAGUUAGCACACAGCCUGCGUGCUGAAGGUUUUCAUAACCAAUUAGCAUUGCAAUAUUCUAUAUAAAGGCAUAUGCAUGAUAACAGGAAAAAAAAAACAAGAAUUAUAAUGAAAGAUUGAAUUCCUUAUUAUCAGGUAACAAAUAUCAGUGUGUUGUUGGUGUGGUAUCAACAACUUCCGAAAAUCCUCUCUAUCAAAUCCUAUUACAGCAUUAACCAUCACUGGAGACCAUCCAAUUUGGUUCCAUCAUUUCUUCAUCCCUACAAAAUACAAGCCAUUCAGGAAUGGCUAAUGCCUACAGGAUUAAAAUAACUAUGGGGGGUUUUGGGGUUGACUGGUUACUAUAGAAGAUUUGUCAAGGGCUAUGGUAGCAUUUGCAAACCACUCACUCAAUUACUCAAGAAAGAGGCCAAAGGCUGGAAUGAAGCGGCCACCACAACUUUCAAUCAGUUGAAAACAAUUAUGACUAGUGCUCCAGUACUAGCUCUACCAGAUUUCAACAAAACGUUCAUCGUGGAGACAGAUGCAUCCAUAAUUGGUGUGGGAGCAAUACUUAUGCAAGAUGGACACCCCAUUGCAUUCAUUAGCAAAUCUUUGGGUCCUAAACAAUAAGUAAUGUCAGUAUACGAGUGGGAAAUGCUGGUCAUUCUCCAGGCAGUCACCAAAUGGAAGCAUUAUCUCUGGGGACGCCAUUUUAUCAUCAAAACAAACCACAUAAGUUUGAAAUAUCUUCUACAGCAGAAGCUGACUACCCCUGCACAACACGUAUGGUUGGUGAAGUUAUUGGGGUACGACUACGAUAUAGAAUACAAGCAAGGCCGCGAAAAUGUUCCUGCAGAUGCCCUUUCCAGAAUUCCUAACAAAGAGGUAUAUGCUCUGACCACUUCACCAUUUCCACUGACAUCCUGGCAUAAAUCAAGAAUUCCUAUGAAGAUGACGUUACAGUUCAAGGAAUUAUUAAACAGUUACAAGAGUCUACUAACACCCAUCCACACUACACUUGGGUAAAUGAUCACCUUAACAGAAAAGGGAAGGUGGUAGUAGGGAAGAAUCCUGCAUACAGAACAAGCUCAUUUCCAUGUUUCAUAGUUUAGCUGUUGGAGGACACUCGGGCAUGACAAUAACAGCUAAAAAAAUUAGGGGGUUAUUUUAUUGGAAGGGUCAGCAGAAACACAUCAGGCAAUUCGUCAGGAAUGCAAUGUGUGCCAGAGGAAAUAAACAUGAAACACAGCCAGUCCCUGGACUCCUUCAACCAUUACCCAUUCCUUCAGCUCCAUUCAUCGACAUCAACAUGGAUUUCAUUGAAGGCUUCCCAAAUCUGAAGGGAGGAGGUGAUAUUAGUGGUGGUGAUCGUUUCAGCAAAUACGCACACUACAUGGCUCUCAGUCAUCCUUACUCUGCCUCAGGGGUGGCCAAACCUUUAUGAACAAUGUCUAUAAACUACACGGAUUACCAACCUCGAUAACCAGCGACAGAGAUCCAGUCUUUUUGAGCAGGUUUUGAAAAGAAUUAUUCACUAGUCAAGGGGUCAACCUUAACUAUUCCUCAGCCUACCACCCACAGACAGACGACCAAACUGAAAUUGUUAACAAAUGCAUCGAACAAUAGUUACGCUGCAUGACUGGUGAUUGCCCGAACCAGUGGGUCAAGUGGUUACCUUUGGCUGAAUGGUGGUACAAUACCAACUACCACUCAGCCACCAAAUGACACCUUAUCAAGUUUUAUAUGGAGUUGUUCCACCCCUACACAUUCCCUAUUUCCCUAAAGAUUCAGCUGUGGAAUCAGUUGAUAAGUACUUAUCAGCUAAAGAAGAAGUCAUCAAGAGGGUCAGGGAACAUCUCCAAGCAGCACAGAACAUGAUGAUUAUGGUGGCUAACAAGAAAAGGAGUGAUCGCAGUUUUGAGAUUAAUGACUAUGUCUUCCUCAAAAUCCAACCAUACAGGCAACAUUCAUUGGUGUAGGUCCUCACAGAAGUUAGCAACAAAAUAUUAUGGGCCUUAUCGGGUAUUGGCUAAGAUAGGAAAGGUGGCUUACAAGCUGGAAUUGCCAGUUUCAACACUUAUUCAUCCAGUGUUCCAUGUUUCUCAGCUUAAAAAACAUAUUGGAAAUCACACAAUACAAGGCACUCCUCCGAUGAUACCAAAAACAGCUGCUCUACAGCCUCGUACAGUGUUAGACCGAAGAAUGGUGAAACUUCACAAUCAAGCACACACUCAAGUAUUGAUACUCUAGGAAGGACUAGCUCUUACUAAGGCUACUUGGGAAGACCUGGAGGAGAUUCAGCUGCGCUUUCAACUUUUCAACCUUGAGGACAAGCUUGGUUUCAAGGGGAGGCAAUUGUUACAGGCAGAAGAAGAAGAAAUGGAAUAAAAGAACUAAGGCAGGCCACGCAUUUAAAAGUUAGUUAUCCUUACACACGUGAGCCACACAUUCAAAAGUUAGUUAUAGAAGCCAUAUGCACCAUUUCAUUUAAGUAACCAUACACACCGUUUCAAUUCCAUAAAACAGUUGCAUGGCAGUUAGCACACAGCCUGCGUGCUGAAGGUUUUCAUAACCAAUUAGCAUUGCAAUAUUCUAUAUAAAGGAAUAUGCAUGAUAACAGGGAAAAAAAAACAAGAAUUAUAAUGAAAGAUUGAAUUCCUUAUUAUCAGGUAACAAAUAUCAGUGUGUUGUUGGUGUGGUAUCAACAACUUCCAAAAAUCCUCUCUAUCAAAUCCUAUUACAGCAUUAACCAUAACUGGAGACCAUCCAAUUUGGUUCCAUCAUUUCUUCACCCUUAACACAUAAGCUAAAAAAGGAUCCAAAGAAAGUUGCACAAAGUUCAAGAACAUAUGAGAAGUAGCAAGAUUUUUUCAUUGCCUUGUAUUUUCCCUUAUCAACAUAUAUUAUAAAUCUAAAUUUCUCUUUGAAGUUUAGUAGUAAUACUCUUUCACAAACUAAUUGGCAAACAAAAUCUUUAAAUAGAAUUUUGGGUAAUUUAAUUCCUUCAAACAUAGUGCUAUUGAUAUCAUUUAAGAUUUUAAUUAUUUAUUUUCUAAUUAAUGUUAAGACUUUAAUUAUUUGUUAGCCUAGGAUUUUUAAUUUAAUUAAUAUUUUACUAUUUAAAAAUUCUAAUGUUGGAUGGAAUCAAUUAAUUAAAUAAAUUUUAAUUAUGAAUCUUUUUAUAUAAAAAAAAUUAGAACUAUUAUAAAUAAGGGAUGUUUAAUUUAUUUUUGAGAGAUUAAGAUUAUAAUUUAAAUUUUUAUAAAAUACCAAGAAAGUUUUCUAAAUUUUUCAACAACUUAGGUCAUGAAAUUAUAAUAACCCUAUAAAAAACAAAUCAAAAUAAAACAUGAAGACCAAUUCAUAAUCAAUUCAAUCUUGAUAGAAAAUUUUGAAAAUAAUAUUAAAUUAAAAAAAGACAAAAAAAACUACUUGGAUCAACCUGUCAAACUUGUAACUCAAGUCAUGAGAUUUGGAUAAUCCUAUAAAAAGCAUAUAAAAAAAUAUGUGAAACUAAAUUUCCAACCAAACCAAUAUUGAAGAAUGAAAAGAAAAAAAAAGAAAUAACUCAAGUCAACCCAGACUAACCUGUUAGACUAUCCCGCUGAAUCAUGAGAUAUUGAUAACUUUAUAAAAUAAAAAUAAAUAAAUAUUAUAAAAAUUUAUUUUCAAUAGAUUUAAUGUUGAAUAUGUUAGUACGGGGAUAACUUUAUAACUUGAGUUUAUAUAUUAUUAUCAAUAUUUUUCAAAUAUUGAAAAUUCAUUAAUUUUGUGAAAUCUAAUGUUAAAAAAGGAAGGACAUUCCUCCAUAAAUAACGGAUAGCUAAUAUAUGUUUGAGGAAUGAAUGCCUGAUUAACACUUCUUUUAAAUUUCAAGGUGUCAAAUAACCAUUUCAUCAGUUUUGGUUGGUUUAAUGGAUGGAGAUAGACAGAAGGGAGGAUGGGGGAAACGAAUAAUCCUAAUUCGAAAAUAAUAUGUAAUAUUAUUUUAAAAAGUGUUUUUUUUGUAAUGUAGUGUAAUAUUAUUUUUAAAGUGUUUUUUAAAUUGUAAUUUAUUGAAAUUUUUUUUUUUUUUUUAUAUUAGUAAAUUAAAACUACUAAAAAUUAACUAAAAAUAUCAAUGUAAUAUUUUUAAGAUAAAAAAUAUUUUGAAAAACAUAGAUAUAACAAUAAAAACAAAUAAUUUUAAUGUAGUUAAAUAUAAGCAAGAGGAAGAAUUGAAAUUUGAAACCCCAAUGAAAGUUUGAGGGGGUAAUUUAUACAAACGAGAGAAAUCAAUUUAUUAAGAUUUAGUAGAUUAAUUGAAUAGAUUAUUUUUUUUUACAAAAUUUAACAUUAAAAACCCUUUAACACGUUUCCAAUCACAACAAAAGCUAUAUAAGUAAUAGGUAGUGACCUAUGGAAGCCAGCAAUCCACCUAAGUCAGGUAAGCAGAUGUUGUUAGAAUCUUGGAUUGCUUCUCGUCCUGUUUCUCAACUUCUUCUUUUACAACCUCUUCCUCGUCCUUUUUAGCCUCAUUUUUCUCUACCAUUUCAGCUUCCUUCAUAGUGAUGAACUCGAUGAGACUUUGAAGAGCAACUUGAGGCUCGCCACGUUUCAUAAGCUGCUGUGCGACUUCUGCUGGGGUAAUAACAGGACUUUGAAGGAGAUCUUCUAUGCAUUUGAAAAGGACAUGCUCUUUAAUUCCAAGAUAUGUAGAGGCAAGCUUCUUGAAUGCUGCAGGAGUACAAUGGCCCAUGUAAAUAGGAACAUCCAUUCGUCCUGGUCGCAACAAUGCUGGGUCCAACUUCUCUUUGUAAUUUGUCGUGAAAAUGAUUAUUCUUUCAUCCCCGCAGCUUGACCAUAGCCCAUCAAUGAAGUUCAACAAACCAGAUAAGGUCACCUGUGAGAAGAUUUAAGGAGAAAUAUGAAAUUGGAAAAUUAGGAGACAAUAAGGCAUCGCCUUGAUUAAUGAAUGUUUUCCUUCCAAAAAAACAUCAUUUUUGGUGACUUUACAUAAGCAUAACAUGAUGUUAUUUAUGAAGUCUAGUCAGUAAGGAUUGCAGUUAAGUUCCGAAUAAAAUAAACAGGGGACAUUAAUUCUUUCAGGACUCACUUACCCCAGGAUCAAAAGAAAGCUUAUUAUCAAGUUGAUCACCCCCCUCAUCAUCAUCAUCAUCUUGUUCUUCUUUUGGAUUCUUAUUUCGAUCGCGAGAACGUGAAGAUUUUGUACCGCAGUCAAUGUCCUCAAUGAGAAGAAUGGAACGAUUGGUGGUGGAGGUGAGUAUCCUCCUCAGUUGAGCAUCAUUCCUUACACCUUGAAGCUGGAGAUCAUAGAUGUUGAAUCUGAGAUAGUUUGCAAUGGCAGCGACGAGGGUGGAUUUUCCAGUCCCUGGUGGACCGUAGAGAAGGUACCCUCUUUUCCAAGCUCUACCAACACUCUGAAAGUAGUCCUUUCUUUGCACAAACAAGUCGAGAUCUUCAACUAUGAACUUCUUCAGGUCAGGGUCCAUUGCCAGAGUGUCAAAGGUAGCUGGAUGCUUGAACACAG
RNAcentral lists this long non-coding RNA (24645 nucleotides) under Populus tremula. RNAcentral's name for it is "long non-coding RNA (PTRE_LNC002372)". Lineage: Eukaryota; Viridiplantae; Streptophyta; Magnoliopsida; Malpighiales; Salicaceae. The record is from RNAcentral.